UUUUGUUUUCACUGCUGCUAUUGCGAUCAAAUCAUUUCUUAGCAGGCAGCAUGAUUUCAAAAUUUUAGUUGAAGUAGUAAGUUUUGUUUUUACUGCUGCUAUUGCAUAUAUGCUUUCACAUUUUCUCAACCAACAUUUUGCUUGCCACUGACCAAUCCAAUGUCUGUUUUUUGACCUCUCUAGGGUACUAAGAUAAAGAAAAGUUCCACUAAUGCAUCAGGUACUUGUCAUGCUACUGCAUCAAGGCCUGCUUGAAUUCUUGGAUUCAUAAUCUGCCUAUAGUAAAAGUUCAUGUCGGUUGUAUUUCCCGAAAAAUGUAUACUAUUGCAGUGAAGUUAUACACAUCAGUUCUAACAAGGUAUGUAUCAUUCUUCCUGCUACUGUUUGGGUUGGAUAUCAUUGGUUAUUGUCUAGCUUGUUACCCCAUGACAGGGUUCAGAGAAUUGUGCUGAGCCAUUUUCCGACCAGGUUUGGGACCGAGAUUUGUACUAGUUGAUCCAUAUGAAAUUAGGUUCUCUCUUCCCUAAAAGGUUCUAUGGCUAAGUUUCUGAUGAAUUACCAAUGCAUGUGCUAAAGGUUUUUUGUACUGCUGUGUGAUCUGUUUAUAGAUUUGUACGAUAUUCUUAAAAUAACCUUUUUUUUAGAUGUGUAUUAUCAAGUGCCUGAAAAAGGAAUCUUAUUAUUUUCUGGAUUUUUGAUGGUAAUCUCUAUGCUGCACCAGAUUUCAUUUGUUAAGGUAUCCUAGACAUGUCUAAUUUUCUUAAAAUUUCAGGACUAAGGGGUUAAAAGAUUUCUUGAUCUUGAUUUUGUCUUUAUUUCUAAAGUCUUAAUGAACAAGCAGACAUUUGCACUGGCAUUCUUGUUAGAAAUCCAAGGAGAAUCUACUGAAUCAUCAAGAACCUUAUACAGGAGGGUUUUUCUAACAGCAGUUUGACUUGUGAUCAAUGUUAAAUUUGCAACAGCAAAUGUAACCCAACCUUUCUGGUUGAGGGGAAGUUGAUGGGUCUUGGACAAGGUUUUUUGAAACUUUGAGAUCUUUCUUGUAUUUUAAUGGAGCAUGAAAUGGAGCAAUGGACUACAGGAAAAGAGAAGCAAGAGUGGCACUGUGACCAGCAGUUGGGAAGUCUGUCAGACAGUCAAAGAGCUAAAAUAAAAGGGGAAAAGAAAACAGGACUAACCAAUAUGAUCUUUGUUCUGCCUGGGUUGGAGGAUUCUGUUCAUCUUUAUUGUCCUCAAAUUACUGCAGAAAAAGUUAAUCUGCCUGUGUUUCUCUAUUGCAGCUUUCGGC
Molecule: long non-coding RNA, 1288 nt
Filed under: Musa acuminata (dwarf banana)
Lineage: Eukaryota; Viridiplantae; Streptophyta; Magnoliopsida; Zingiberales; Musaceae
Description: long non-coding RNA (MACU_LNC003804)
Source: RNAcentral